Non-coding RNA from Panaeolus papilionaceus, 122 nucleotides. Lineage: Eukaryota; Fungi; Basidiomycota; Agaricomycetes; Agaricales. The record is from the annotation of a GenBank genome assembly.
GACCCCCUAGCUCAGUGGUAGAGUAUGAGAUUCCAGUUAUGUAUGAGCUGUUGUGAACGAUUGUUCUCAUGAGGUUCUCUGGUAAUUCCUCAGGGUCAUCCGUUCAAUCCGGGUGGGGGUCA